Molecule: ribosomal RNA, 417 nt
Filed under: Triticum aestivum (bread wheat)
Lineage: Eukaryota; Viridiplantae; Streptophyta; Magnoliopsida; Poales; Poaceae
Description: partial small subunit ribosomal RNA
Source: RNAcentral
AUGAAUCAGAAGUUCAGUACAUCGCCUCUUCUUCGAAUGUAUCCUGGCGCGCCAGGCCUGGGCAAUGCUUUCUGUCUGACAUUUUUGGUGUGCCGCUGGGUGCUGAUUUUCUGCGUACUGUUUUCAGGGCAAAAGUUGGCUAGGCAUAACAAUGCUGUCAUUGCUGUGGCACAAGAUGGUGGCAAACGUUGGAAGAUGGCAGGAUAUUCACUCGAGGCUGCUCCAUCGCGCUGUCCUGAGGAUUGCCUGGAAUCUGGAGAUGAAGUGGAUCAGGUUGGUAUCUUGUGUUCGACACCAAAAGCUGCAUCGGCUAACGGCUCAGCGAGCUCCCCAAGCGAUAGGCGAUGCUUGAUUUUCAUUUUCCGGUCUUUUCCUUGUCCCUGUGCUGAGCUAUUCUGGGUUCACACUUUUGGUUGA